This is a long non-coding RNA of Alligator mississippiensis (American alligator), 6005 nucleotides long. RefSeq lists it as uncharacterized. The record is from RefSeq and is a predicted model, not a curated record. Lineage: Eukaryota; Metazoa; Chordata; Crocodylia; Alligatoridae. The transcript is spliced from 4 exons.
GUACGGGGGCGGGGGCGUGGACCUCCACAUAUACACUUGUACACGUAUACACAUAGGUGUGCAUGUCAGUAUACAUACAUGGAAAGAGUGCGUGUGGCAGUGCACAUACAUGUCUGCCUGUUUGCGCACACCUGCAUGCACACACACGCAGUAUGCACCUGCAGGCACGCUGUACCCUAUGUGCUACAGGUGCACUGUGUGUAUACACCUACACAUGCAGAUGCGUGUGCAUGCAUGUACACACACACACACGUGCAUGCAUGUACAUGGCUGCACGGGCUCACACACCGAGUGCGUGAGUAGGGGUGGGAGUCAGUCAGCUCUGUGAGGCAUGUAAACACCUGCAUGCGAUUCACGAGGUUUCCGGCAGGAAGCCGUAGCAUCAGAAGCUGUUCGUAUCUGCUGUGGCAAGAGGUAGGGGUGGGAGUCAGUCUACUAUUUUUCAUAAUGAAAAACAGUGAAAUUAAUUUUUGAAAAGCAGGUGCCACAAAACUCAGGCCAGUUGCAGACGGGCGCCUGGAGCCGAAAGAGGCUGAGAAACCCCCGUACUAGGUACAGGAAGCCACGAUGAUCGCUUUCUCGACAGCAUCUUCAGUAGCACCUGGGUAUAUUUUUCAUGCCUGUUAAUGGGGACUGAUUUCAGACACGCUCCAGUGAAGACAUUAAGUAGGACUGAAAUUGUCUCCUUGUUUCAUUCAGCGUAGGCCUAAAGGCCUCAAGUUGCAGUUAGUUGGUUACUGAACAAACUGCCGGUUUUCAGGGAGUCUCCAGCGCUCGACGCUCCUCACCUCCCGCUCCAGCGCUCGGCGCUGUCUCCCCCGGGCACUGACGCUCCUGGUUAUGCCUCUGGCUUUGCUUACACAAAAAGUUGAACCAGUUUAACUCUGGUUUACUCAAUCUGGUCAAUUUAAGUAGUGCACACCAAUUCACAGGUGGUUUUCUUGGUGUAGCUUGUGUUGAUAACUUUUUAAAACCAAUUUUAUUUAAAUAGGCACAAUAUCUGGCUAGGUGAGGGUUGAAAUGUCAUUUCCCACACCCUUUGCAUAGUCAUAAUUCACUAAUUGAGAAAUUAACUUUUUUUUCUUCUUCUUUCAGCGCUACGACUUGUUGUGAAGCAUUUACAGCUGCUCCACUUAUGCAUAUUUUCCAACAGGCAGGAUCUUUUGAAAACGAUACCUAAUGUUAUGUUAUUAAAAUGGCUAUCCAUACAAGGCAGAGUGUAAAAAUGAAAAUGCUGACAGCAGUAAGAUGCACCGAUAAAGAUGUUUUGGGCCGAUACCGAUGGCUGAUUGUAGACCAUCCAUAUUGGAUGAUACUGAUCCAAUUGCCAAUAUGCAGCCUGGCAGCUUGGAGAACGGCAUUUGGCUGAGCCCUUGCUUUCUGUACGUGCCUUCGUUGCAUCCCAAGAAGGAAAGCUGCUGCAUCAUUGAACCAGUUAGUCUCCAGUGUGCCACCCUGCCCAGAUUUCUUCCAAGGAAGGAGUAGUGGAUGUGAUCUCUGCAAAAAGAAAGCUUGUCUGGUAAAGAGCAAUUUUCCUCUUUAAGUAGCUUUUGACAUUAAAGCAAAGAACUCUCAAUACCAUAUUUUAUGUACUUUUGAAAAAUGGGCUGUUUACUUCGUUCUGUCUGUGCGGGAUAUGCAGAUUGAGGACUGUACUGUGUCAUACACAAACAUCUGCGACCCUGGGUAGAGUAUGUAAUGCUGUAAACGUUACAGUCCACGUGCUUGCACAGAGCAUUGCAUAGAAACUAGAAGAGUUUGUGCCAGAGCCAGGGGCACAGGAGUGGCUUUUUAAGAACUGUCCUUAUGUCUGUUUCUUUUAGUUUGUAGAGGUUAAAACUUUCUGAAACAUUAUGCAAAGCUGAGGUAUAGCACCCCUGCUAAUACAGUAUGUAAAUAUUCUCAUUACAUUUGGGGGGCAUAUUUCACCAUUUUGACAUAUAGCAGUGCUAUAGAGGGGCAUGACAAGGAGCAAUCUAUACCUGCAGCAAUGAUGAAGCAGUUAUAUUUCAGACAUAACAUCAUUCUUUGUAAAAAUAGUCCUCACUCUCUCUAGGCUAAAACAUCACGGCCACCUGUAAGGUUUGUUAUGCUACAGUCAAAACUGCAGUUGAAAGGGAUUUCUUCUUUCCUUUUAGUUUUGUUAACUUACGGAGGAGGAAAUAAUUUCAGUUCACUUUAGGAAUCGGUCCCGUUCCUUUGCACCUGUUUUCCCUAAGUUAGUCCUUGGAACAAUACCGGCUCAAUUAUAGUGAAGUAAUAUCAUGCAUUUUGAGCUUGUGGAAUCCACAGACCGCGUAAUUCUCUGCAUUUCCUCCCCCUUCCUUGCAUCCCACUUUUUGACAGUGUCCUUCUGCUGGAGCUAUGCUGGAAAACCUUGCAACCUUGCGUGUGCGUGUGUGCGUGCAUGUGUGUGCGUGUGCACACAUGCUGCAUGCAAAAUCCUACACUUUGUUUAGUCUGCAGAACCUCUUCUGUUAGCUAACGCUCCAGGCUCCGCAAAGGUGCAGUGAGAGAGGAGCACUAGUAAGUACCUAAGGCAGAAAGCAAACAAGGGCUUUAUCACUGGUCUUUAACUCCUAUCAAAAGGGGAGGGAGGGAGAAGUCAUUUAAACAUGAGGCUUGAAUGAAAAUUAGCAUGGAUUAGUCACAGUUGUCCCAGGAGUCCUGUUAUCUCAGGUCACAGGUACUUAUGGUAGGGAGUGGGGUACUUUACCUGUAGGAUCCCCAAGUGAAAGACUCUUGAGGGAGCCAAGAGGGGGAGGAAGAGUCCUGGGUCUGUUUUUAGCCAAAGGGAAUUCCCCUUGAGGCAUGGCAGGAGUAGUGUGUGUCUCCCUGUCUUUUCCCAGUGGAUGAGCUCCUGGGCAGUUCAUGCAUGGAGGAAGGAUGACUCUCUAGCCUGUUCCCCGCAGGUAAACGGCAACAAAUUGAACUGAUUUGGAGAAACAAGUGGGUUACGUCUGAGCAGCUUCCUUGCUUGCUAGUCAGUUGGCUGAAGAGUGGUUGAUGCUGAUGUUACUUAAUACUAGAUUUACCCUUCUGUGGCCCCUGGCAGAGAGAUCGGGGCAUUCAUCCUCCACUUUGCACAGGCUGGAGGGAACAACCUGGCUCCCAUCUUAGUUUUGAAGAACUUCAUUGCUGAAAAAUCAAAUGCUCACGUGUUCCCUAAGGAACGUAUCCAUUCAAAGGCAUGAAAUAUAAACGUAUAUUGUUACGUGCAAAUGCUUUGCACAAGUACAUUUGCUGGAUGCAUUUGGUAUGUUCUUCAAGCAAGUAGUGUCGUUAGCUGUUAAAUUCUUGACUCCUCUGUUAGGCUUGGGACAGAAAUUACACACAAGCUGGUCUAAGAGAUUGGAAACAGGUUCAGAUCUGGAACACAACAGAAGGAUGGUGCGCAUAAGCCACUUUCAAGAUUGCCGAAACAGGUUUAAGAUAAGCCUGGAUGGAUGUAGUAUUAGACUGAACUGAUUUAGAUUAAACUGGUUUAUUGUACUUCUGACCCAGACCCUCUCCAGAUUCAUAUUAACACAUAGUCCCCCAGCAUCCCUGGACCUCUGCCAGCCUGCAAGGGAAAAGCCACCUUUGCCCACGUUUUCCUCCAUUAAAAGACAAUCCACCCUUAAAGUUUGUUGAUCCAGUUUUAAAGUUUGUUCGUGACCCUUUCAUAGGCACUUGUGACCCCCUUUUGGGACACAACCCGCGAACUGAGAACCGCUGCGGUAGAGCAGCAGGGUCGGUCGCGGAGCGCGCUGCUGCGGAGCGGAGGGGCAGUGCCGCUCAACCCUGUGAGACGGGUCCCACGUACCAGAUCAGACCUCUUUGUGGGCCAGAUUAAGCCUGUGGGCUGGAGAUUGCCACCCCCUCUUAUAGCUCCUUUUCAGCUGGGGCUUUGUAGAUGCUCCUGUUACCUUGUUUCUACAUCGAAAGACUCGUGCUACACGGCAGGGUAGGCUUUCACCUCGUAGACUAAGUCAAUCAGAGGUGCGUAAGCUUUUGUAAGCGAGCUCGCUUCAUACCCCUUUCUUUUUCCUCCCUUCCCUACCCUUUGUUUUCCAGUAACUGCUCUCUGUUUAGAACCGCUGCUUCCUGAAACGUCUUGUUUGACAACAGAGCCGUCCAAUUUCUGAGUGGCUGGGGCUGCAGCCCCCCUAUCCGCAUGCUGUAGGGGCUGCAUGCCCACCAGAGCCGCCUCCUGCACGAGCUGAAAGGGGUCUGCAGGACCUCCCCAGCCACAGACUCCCUUGCACCAGGACUGUGCCGCCCUGCCUUGGCCCUAGUGCACAAGGGGUGGCGGGGGGAAGUGGGCACGCAGGAAGCAGAUGCUGGGCUAGGGAAGGGGAUUUUGGUGGGAGCAGCAGCAGCGAAGCGAUGGGGCAAGCAGACUCGGGACUGGGAGUUUGGGAGCUGCACGCAGCCCACAGGCCGCCAGUCGGAUGCCCGUAACUGGUUGGCUUUCUGUGGUUUACUCUCCUUAUGUGCUGUCCCUAUAUUCAUUUUAGUUCUCGUUGAGUUUUCCUUUUCUUACUCCUUCUUCGAAACAUCUCCUAGGUUGAUCCUGACGGUAAAACAAGCGUACCCGUUAAGAUGACUGCGGGGAAAGUAUCCUGUUUUCAUCUACGCAGCCUGACAUUACUGCUGGGAGUUUUUGCCACGUAGGAACGCGGUUCAUCUGCGACCAUGUGGAUUCCUGGAACGUCCCCAAAAGCACUCGCGGUUCUUCUGUGGGAAUUCUUCGCUAGGCGACUCGACACCAAAGGGAAGGCGACUGAAGUGGCACGCAGCUCGGCUGAUUCCUUGCCUGGUUUGACUUGCCUGUAGCCGUCCUCUUCAUCAAGAACGGUGAACAGCUUUUUACCUGACAAGCUCUUUUGCACAUCCUCUACAGCGGGAAUAGAACAGUGCUGCCUCGAUACUGCCUCGUUGAGGUCUCGCGGGUAUAAACCAAGCGGUAGCGAACCAUCCUUCUUUUGUGCCAUCACGAGGCUAUUGACCCAGGGUGCGUGGGCUUAGUCAACUUCGUAAGGACUCUCACAGCUUCCAGCGUUUCGAGGGCAGUCUUCUACGUGCCUAGGGUUGCACAGGGAAUUUUUCUACACCCGUACACCGCUGGUGGUACUGCCGGGUCGACACAGAUGUGGUAGGUACCGGGAAAUAGGCCCACCCCUUCGAAAACGUCCGGACAUAGUUUGAGAAGGUCCGCCUUGGUUGCGGGUAUUGUCGGGGCCAUUCCGUGGACUCGUCUGAUGAGGUCCGACGUGGUGCAAGCCACCCUACUAGGUCUUGGUGGGUCACUAUUGUCAGUUAGGUAGAAAGGUACAUCAGAUUCAUUAGCACCAGAUUUGCAGCCUGCAAUGCCUGCACCUUUUGGUUUCAUGGGUGCACCGCCAAAUGCGACUAAUGUAACAUGAGUUUGAGCCUUGCAUAGUUUUCCCUGCAAAGCUUUUGCUACAGCUACUGGAAUAGCGUUUGCCUCUGCUCCACUAUCUAACUUCAAAUAAGCUGGCAAGCCAGCGGUCAUCACUGUGCUAUACCAGGGGUGUAGGUUGUAGCCGUGUUGGUCUAAGGACCCAGGCAGACAAGGUUCCUUGGGUGAAUUUGAUAUCUUGUAUUAGACCAACCCAAAUAGUUGGAGAAUAGUUAUUAAGCAAGCUUUCGGGUUCAAAAACCCUUCGUCAGGCUAAGGAGGUUUCAGCACUUGGUGUGCGCUCUUCCUGGAUGGGAUGAAAAGUCAAGAAGCCAGGGGCUGGGCUGGGCUGGGCUGGGCUGGGGAGUCAGUGGCCAGGCAGACUGUAACGUAUCAAAACUCCUGUGCUAUACCUGCGCUAUCCCAGGCACUCUGCUUAUCAACGGUGGGUGAGUGCUGCUUGGCAGACACUACGCCCAUACAGAGGGUACUGACUCCUUUUGCAGAUUUUGGAGCCCCUCCCUUUGAUUUGCACAUUUCUGCAAAGUGGUUCGCUCCAGAGCAUUUGUAACAGGUUUCUCCAAAAGCUGGGCAGGAUCUA